Long non-coding RNA from Alligator sinensis (Chinese alligator), 394 nucleotides. RefSeq lists it as uncharacterized. The transcript is spliced from 3 exons. The record is from RefSeq and is a predicted model, not a curated record. Lineage: Eukaryota; Metazoa; Chordata; Crocodylia; Alligatoridae.
GCUGAGGUGAGAGCUCUCUCUACUCCCUGCCUCAGGACCCAGGUUGAGGUCUCAGAUGUGAAGCCCUGGAGUGAAAUGUCCUGCAGGAGUCAGAUACCCCUGGGCCUGAGGCUGGGGCCUCACUUUGCAGCAGGACCAUGGUUCCUGGUCAAAGGCGAGAACAAGGGGACCACGGGCUGAGACUCCUAGCUGUGUGUGGCCAUGAUACAGCUGCCUGAUGCACCUCCAGAACACGCUGACAAGAGCUGUGUCCUGGUAGGAGACGCCCGAUUUGAGGAGUGCUUUGAGCGCUGCACGUGCUGUGGCGCUGGGGACCUGAUAUGCGAGCGCAGCCACAGCCUGCCUUCAAGAACUGUUGGUUCCAGGACAGGAAGAAGGACUGCCAGCCCCUUGG